Molecule: long non-coding RNA, 774 nt
Filed under: Manihot esculenta (cassava)
Lineage: Eukaryota; Viridiplantae; Streptophyta; Magnoliopsida; Malpighiales; Euphorbiaceae
Description: long non-coding RNA (MESC_LNC011004)
Source: RNAcentral
UACACUUUAUAAUUUUAAAUUCAGAUAUGACAUACAUUUUUAGCAUAUUUCAUGCAUCAUAAAAUGCCAUGUUAUGUAUUAGGUUGUGUUGCAUUAGAAUCCACGAAUAUGCUGCAUUGCAUAAGAUGAUAAUUGUGUGGAUGAAUGUUGAAUGAUCCAUAGCCCUUGAUAUCAGUUGAGACACCAUGAGAGCAUAUGAGAUAUGGCAUGAGAUAGCCAUACCAGGUCGCCCCUGGAUAGUCCAGGUCGCUCCUGGUACUAUGAGUUAGACAGCUGGGCUGUCAGAUCAGAUAAGAGAAGUCCAGGUGAUGACGUAGUCUCCUUGGCACAGUGGGACAUGUUAUGAUAUGAGAGAAAUAAGAGAAGUCCAGGUGAUGACCUAGUCUCCUUGGCACAGCAGGACAUAUUAUGACAUGUAGUAGAGGGCUAUUGGUGACAAGUUCAUCCUUGAGAUGAUAUGUUUGUGAUGUGAUGCAUUCCAUGAGAGCAUGUAAUGAAUGAAUUGUUUUAUUGUUCCUCCUCACUGGGCUGUAGUAGCUCAUCCCACUCCCUUAACCCCAGUUUUGCAGGUUCUGAGAUUAGCUGUGAGAAGUCAAAGUCAACAAGAGUAAAGAGGAAGGAUAUGCAUGAAUGUAUGUUUGUAAUAGAAUAGUGGACAUGAUAUAAUUAAAAGAUUAAUUGUAAUGUAUUGAUAUGUACUGUCAUAUACUGGAUAGACUAGUGCUUUCCCUAGUGUUAUUGCUAUAGUGUGAUGUAUGAUCUAUCCCUUUGUAC